GACGAACGCUGGCGGCGUGCCUAAUACAUGCAAGUAGAACGCUGAAGGAGGAGCUUGCUCUUCUGGAUGAGUUGCGAACGGGUGAGUAACGCGUAGGUAACCUGCCUGGUAGCGGGGGAUAACUAUUGGAAACGAUAGCUAAUACCGCAUAAGAGUAGAUGUUGCAUGACAGCUGUUUAAAAGGUGCAAUUGCAUCACUACCAGAUGGACCUGCGUUGUAUUAGCUAGUUGGUGAGGUAACGGCUCACCAAGGCGACGAUACAUAGCCGACCUGGGAGGGUGAUCGGCCACACUGGGACUGGGACACGGCCCAGACUCCUACGGGAGGCAGCAGUAGGGAAUCUUCGGCAAUGGACGGAAGUCUGUCCGAGCAACGCCGCGUGAGUGAAGAAGGUUUUCGGAUCGUAAAGCUCUGUUGUAAGAGAAGAACGAGUGUGAGAGUGGAAAGUCACACUGG
This 457-nucleotide ribosomal RNA is filed under the name Streptococcus sp. oral taxon 064. RNAcentral's name for it is "bacterial SSU rRNA". It matches the Rfam family "Bacterial small subunit ribosomal RNA", at positions 28 to 472 of the family's 1533-position model. Lineage: Bacteria; Bacillati; Bacillota; Bacilli; Lactobacillales; Streptococcaceae. The record is from RNAcentral.